UGAGGAAUAUUGGUCAAUGGGCGAGAGCCUGAACCAGCCAAGUAGCGUGCAGGAUGACGGCCCUAUGGGUUGUAAACUGCUUUUAUAAGGGAAUAAAGUUAGUCUCGUGAGACUUUUUGCAUGUACCUUAUGAAUAAGGACCGGCUAAUUCCGUGCCAGCAGCCGCGGUAAUACGGAAGGUCCGGGCGUUAUCCGGAUUUAUUGGGUUUAAAGGGAGCGUAGGCCGGAGAUUAAGCGUGUUGUGAAAUGUAGACGCUCAACGUCUGCACUGCAGCGCGAACUGGUUUCCUUGAGUACGCACAAAGUGGGCGGAAUUCGUGGUGUAGCGGUGAAAUGCUUAGAUAUCACGAAGAACUCCGAUUGCGAAGGCAGCUCACUGGAGCGCAACUGACGCUGAAGCUCGAAAGUGCGGGUAUCGAACAGGAUUAGAUACCCUGGUAGUCCGCACGGUAAACGAUGGAUGCCCGCUGUUGGUCUGAAUAGGUCAGCGGCCAAGCGAAAGCAUUAAGCAUCCCACCUGGGGAGUACGCCGGCAACGGUGAAACUCAAAGGAAUUGACGGGGGCCCGCACAAGCGGAGGAACAUGUGGUUUAAUUCGAUGAUACGCGAGGAACCUUACCCGGGCUUGAAUUGCAGAGGAAGGAUUUGGAGACAAUGACGCCCUUCGGGGCCUCUGUGAAGGUGCUGCAUGGUUGUCGUCAGCUCGUGCCGUGAGGUGUCGGCUUAAGUGCCAUAACGAGCGCAACCCCUCUCCUUAGUUGCCAUCAGGUCAUGCUGGGCACUCUGGGGACACUGCCACCGUAAGGUGUGAGGAAGGUGGGGAUGACGUCAAAUCAGCACGGCCCUUACGUCCGGGGCUACACACGUGUUACAAUGGCAGGUACAGAGAGACGGUCCCUUGCAAAAGGGAUCAAAUCCUCAAAGCCUGUCUCAGUUCGGACUGGGGUCUGCAACCCGACCCCACGAAGCUGGAUUCGCUAGUAAUCGCGCAUCAGCCAUGGCGCGGUGAAUACGUUCCC
This 1019-nucleotide ribosomal RNA is filed under the name uncultured bacterium. RNAcentral describes it as "bacterial SSU rRNA". It matches the Rfam family "Bacterial small subunit ribosomal RNA", at positions 355 to 1375 of the family's 1533-position model. The record is from RNAcentral.